Molecule: ribosomal RNA, 261 nt
Filed under: uncultured bacterium
Lineage: Bacteria
Description: partial 16S ribosomal RNA
Rfam family: Bacterial small subunit ribosomal RNA
Source: RNAcentral
UACGGGGGGGAGCAAGCGUUGUUCGGAUUUACUGGGCGUAAAGGGCGCGUAGGCGGUCAGCACAAGUCAAUUGUGAAAUCUCCGAGCUUAACUCGGAAAGGUCAACUGAAACUGUGCGACUAGAGUGCGGAAGGGGCAACUGGAAUUCUUGGUGUAGCGGUGAAAUGCGUAGAUAUCAAGAGGAACACCUGCGGCGAAGGCGGGUUGCUGGGGCCGACACUGACGCUGAAGCGCGAAAAGCCCAGGGAGAGCGAAACGGGG